This is a long non-coding RNA of Rhodamnia argentea, 283 nucleotides long. RefSeq lists it as uncharacterized. The record is from RefSeq and is a predicted model, not a curated record. The transcript is spliced from 2 exons. NCBI's taxonomy places the organism in Eukaryota, Viridiplantae, Streptophyta, Magnoliopsida, Myrtales, Myrtaceae.
GAACAUGUCACUGCUGCGGGAGCUCAUAGAACUCCUCGAGUUGACUUUUCUUCUGUGUCUCUCUCUUUUGCACCGCUCUCUGUGGCAAAGCUCGCAUGGAGAACACUUGUUGCCAACCUGAAACUCCCAGCUUCCAAAACUACCCGCCACCAACACCGGCAUGGCUCAAUCCCUCGUCGGCCUCAUCGUCAACGUCGCAAAUGCCGACGUGGGUCAAAGUGGCCAUAGGCAUCGCCGUUCUCUUGCUCUGCUGCAUUCUUUACAUAUUCCUGAAACGUCGCGA